Molecule: ribosomal RNA, 253 nt
Filed under: uncultured microorganism
Description: partial 16S ribosomal RNA
Rfam family: Bacterial small subunit ribosomal RNA
Source: RNAcentral
AACGUAGGGGGCGAGCGUUGUCCGGAAUUACUGGGCGUAAAGAGCUCGUAGGCGGUAGUUCAAGUCAGGUGUGAAAUCCGACGGCUUAACCGGAGGGCUGCACCUGAUACUGGGCUGCUAGAGGUAAGGAGAGGAAGGUGGAAUUCCCGGUGUAGCGGUGAAAUGCGUAGAGAUCUGGAGGAAUACCGGUGGCGAAGGCGGCCCCCUGGACAAAGACUGACGCUCAGGCACGAAAGCGUGGGGAGCAAACAGG